GUGCUCCCUUCAGCAGCACAUAUACUAAAAUUGGAACGAUACAGAGAAGAUUAGCAUGGUUCCUGCACAAGGAUGACACGCAAAUUCAUGAAGCGUUCCAUAUUUUU
Molecule: small nuclear RNA, 107 nt
Organism: Neomonachus schauinslandi (Hawaiian monk seal)
Lineage: Eukaryota; Metazoa; Chordata; Mammalia; Carnivora; Phocidae
Source: RefSeq, a predicted model, not a curated record